AACCAUAGAAACCUGCGGAGUACCUGCGGAGGGAUCAUUACAGAGCUGCAAAACUCCCUAAACCAUUGUGAACGUUACCUAAACCGUUGCUUCGGCGGGCGGCCCGGGUCCUUCCCGGCGCCCCUCGGCCCUCGCGGGCGCCCGCCGGAGGUAAACCAAACUAUUGCAUUGUAUGGCCUCUCUGAGUCUUCUGUACUGAAUAAGUCAAAACUUUUAACAACGGAUCUCAGAUCGGAAGAG
RNAcentral lists this unclassified non-coding RNA (240 nucleotides) under soil metagenome. RNAcentral describes it as "partial contains 5.8S ribosomal RNA, internal transcribed spacer 2, and large subunit ribosomal RNA". The record is from RNAcentral.